ACAGAGGGUGCAAGCGUUGUUCGGAAUUAUUGGGCGUAAAGCGCGUGUAGGCGGUCCUGCAAGUCGGAUGUGAAAGCCCUCGGCUUAACCGAGGAAGUGCGUUCGAUACUACAGAACUUGAGUACCGGAGAGGGUGGCGGAAUUCCCGGUGUAGAGGUGAAAUUCGUAGAUAUCGGGAGGAACACCAGUGGCGAAGGCGGCCACCUGGACGGCUACUGACGCUGAGACGCGAAAGCGUGGGGAGCAAACAGGAUUAGAUACCCUGGUAGUCCACGCUGUAAACGAUGAGCGCUAGGUGUUGUGGGUGUUGACCCCUACAGUGCCGCAGCUAACGCAUUAAGCGCUCCGCCUGGGAAGUACGGCCGCAAGGCUA
RNAcentral lists this ribosomal RNA (373 nucleotides) under uncultured bacterium. RNAcentral describes it as "bacterial SSU rRNA". It matches the Rfam family "Bacterial small subunit ribosomal RNA", at positions 525 to 896 of the family's 1533-position model. The record is from RNAcentral.